RNAcentral lists this ribosomal RNA (379 nucleotides) under uncultured bacterium. Its description in RNAcentral is "bacterial SSU rRNA". It matches the Rfam family "Bacterial small subunit ribosomal RNA", at positions 30 to 389 of the family's 1533-position model. The record is from RNAcentral.
AGUGAACGCUGGCGGCAGGCCUAACACAUGCAAGUCGAGCGGCAGCGGGUUCCCGCGAGGGGAUGCCGGCGAGCGGCGGACGGGUGAGGAACACAUCGGAAUCUGCCUGGUUGUGGGGGAUAACGUAGGGAAACUUACGCUAAUACCGCAUGCGACCCUGAGUCGACGGACUGGGGGGUGAAAGUGAGGGACCUUCGGGCCUCACGCGACCAGAUGAGCCGAUGUCGGAUUAGCUAGUUGGCGGGGUAACGGCCCGCCAAGGCGACGAUCCGUAGCUGGUCUGAGAGGAUGAUCAGCCACACUGGGACUGAGACACGGCCCAGACUCCUACGGGGAGGCAGCAGUGGGGAAUCUUGGACAAUGGGCGCAAGCCUGAUCC